This 855-nucleotide long non-coding RNA is filed under the name Oryctolagus cuniculus (rabbit). Its description in RNAcentral is "lncRNA (ENSOCUG00000037693.1)". The record is from RNAcentral. Lineage: Eukaryota; Metazoa; Chordata; Mammalia; Lagomorpha; Leporidae.
CUACAGAUCGGCCCAUUUCUGGCUAUUGCAGCCUUUUGGGGAGUGAAACAGCAGAUGGAAAACCUUUCUCUCUCUCUCUCUCUCUCUCUCUGUAACUCCACCUGUCAAAUAAAUAAAUAAAAUCUUUUUAAAAAAGACAGUCUUUGAAAUGCACCUGUCCAAGAUCUCUUACAGCCUUAUUUAUCUUCUCUGAAUUAUUUCUGAUCUUCAGUGUCUACUGCAGAGUACAGGAGUCCUCCAGCAUCAGAAUCAAAGAGGCCCAGCUCCACUCCCUGCUUGCUUGUUCCUGGUAGCCAACAUCUAUUCUCUGCUUCUAUGAUUUGAAUUAAUGUACAUUCCACAUGUCUAAGAGUAAACACACAACCUAGAGAUAAUGAGACCUUCAGAUGUGUACUUCUUUGGGAUUUGUCUCUAUCAGGAUUUCUCCAAGGUUUUCUAUGAAAACUCUUUGCAAUAGCAUUUUGUUGCUAUGACAACCCAGAACAGCAAUUGGAAAUUAGAACAGUGAAGGUGAGAUGGGAAAGACAUACAAAUAGUUCCUAUUUAGCUAAAUACUAUUACUUUUCAAUUUUAUAAAUCCAGGGAAAAUUGUCAUCAAGUAUUCAAAAAUAAUAGUUUUCACCCUUAAAAUCAUAUAGAGUGCCCAGUUAUAUUUGAAUCACGUAUUACUUAUUAAAUAAGAUAAAUCAACUCCUUAAUUUUUCUGAAUCUCAAAAGAAGUUUUUAAAAGUCUAUUUGAGCUUUGAUAACCUGUUGUAUAUUCUGAGCAUUUAGAUUGCUAGAUCAGGAUAUUAUAGCUUUUAAUUGAUUAAAACUUUGGUUUUCAAAAUGUGUUUUGCAAAUCUUCCACAAAAU